Molecule: transfer RNA, 85 nt
Filed under: uncultured Rhodobacter sp.
Lineage: Bacteria; Pseudomonadati; Pseudomonadota; Alphaproteobacteria; Rhodobacterales
Also listed under: 1 other name
Rfam family: tRNA
About the family: Transfer RNA (tRNA) molecules are approximately 80 nucleotides in length. Their secondary structure includes four short double-helical elements and three loops (D, anti-codon, and T loops).
Source: RNAcentral
GAAGUGUGGCCGAGUGGUUUAAGGCUCCAGUCUUGAAAACUGGCGUGGGGGGAACCCCACCGUGGGUUCGAAUCCCACCGCUUCC